CCUACGGGAGGCUGCAGUGAGGAAUAUUGGUCAAUGGGCGUAAGCCUGAACCAGCCAUCCCGCGUGAAGGAAGAAGGCGCUAUGCGUCGUAAACUUCUUUUCCAGAGGAAUAAAAUUUCGUACGUGUACGGAACUGAAGGUACUUUGGGAAUAAGCAUCGGCUAACUCCGUGCCAGCAGCCGCGGUAAUACGGAGGAUGCGGGCGUUAUCCGGAUUUAUGGGGUUGAAAGGGUACUUAGACGGAUGAGGAGAAAACCUUCGGCUUAACUUGAGAACUGCCAUUGAUACUGUUAGUCUUGAGUACGGUCAAGGUAGGCGGAAUGUGGAAUGUAGCGGUGAAAUGCGUAGAUAUUACACAGAACACCGAUUGCGAAGGCAGCUUACUGGGCCAUUACUGACGCUGAUGCACGAAAGCGUGGGGAGCGAACAGGAUUAGAUACCCGAGUAGUC
Molecule: ribosomal RNA, 450 nt
Filed under: uncultured bacterium
Lineage: Bacteria
Description: partial 16S ribosomal RNA
Rfam family: Bacterial small subunit ribosomal RNA
Source: RNAcentral